UACGAAGGGGGCUAGCGUUGUUCGGAAUUACUGGGCGUAAAGGGCGCGUAGGCGGCGUGUCAAGUCAGGCGUGAAAGCCCCGGGCUCAACCUGGGAACCGCGCUUGAGACUGGCAUGCUCGAGUUCGGGAGAGGAUGGUGGAAUUCCCAGUGUAGAGGUGAAAUUCGUAGAUAUCGGGAGGAACACCAGUGGCGAAGGCGGCGACCUGGACGGACAUUGACGCUGAGACGGCGAAAAGCGUGGGGAGCGAACCGGG
RNAcentral lists this ribosomal RNA (256 nucleotides) under uncultured bacterium. RNAcentral describes it as "partial 16S ribosomal RNA". It matches the Rfam family "Bacterial small subunit ribosomal RNA", at positions 524 to 777 of the family's 1533-position model. The record is from RNAcentral.